Molecule: long non-coding RNA, 3075 nt
Organism: Meriones unguiculatus (Mongolian gerbil)
Lineage: Eukaryota; Metazoa; Chordata; Mammalia; Rodentia; Muridae
Exons: 2
Source: RefSeq, a predicted model, not a curated record
CGGGUCUGGAUUUCUUGGACUGAGGCAGGAUCGCAGACUGCCGUUUCGGAGCCAUGGCACGAGGAGGUGGCCUGAAGCCAGAGGGCAGAGGCCCAAUGUUCGCAGCAGGAGGAGACUCGGAGGAACUGAGGCGGCCUCAGUUUGGUAUCGGGGAGACUUAGAUACGUGCUGUUGCCUCACGUCAGCCUGGAACAUUCUUCACUCUUCCCAACCCCCAACUCGUGCGUCUGGCUAGACUCCUUCCCAGCCUGCAGAUCGCCGCUUGGAGGGACAGAUGAAUGUUGAAGAAAAGGGAUUCCCAGGCGAGAAUUACAAAAGUCGCCGUGGGGGAGGGGAGGGAAGCCUUGGCUCAUCAUUCCAUCUACUCAAAGGGCUUGUGUCAGAGAAGUUAAGUGCGUUGGCUCAGCGUGUAAUUAUACUUUUUGGGGGGGGCGUUUUUGUUUCGCUUUGUUUUCGAGACAGGAUUUCUCUGUGUAGCCGUGGCUAUCUUGGAACUCACUCUGUAGACAGAACUCAAGAGAUCUGUCUGUCUCUGCCUCCCGAGUUCCGGGGUUAAAGGCCUGUGUCACCACGGCCUGCUCUUAGCCUGUAAUCUUUUUAUUUGUUUGUUUUUCGAGUCAGGGUUUCUCAGUAUGUAUUCCGGCUGUCCUGAAAUCACGCUGUAGAUCAGGCUGACCUCCAACUCAGAGAUCCCCUGCUCCCGCCUCCCAAGUGCUGACGUUAAAGGCUGCACCACCGCUCAGCUGUAAUCUUAGCGCUCAGAAGUUGAGGCCGGAGGAUCGCAGGUUUCAGACCAGCCUGGACUACAGUGCAAGACCUUGUCCUACAAAACUAAGUGGAAAAAGAAUAAUAAAAUAUUUUUCGUGUGUGUGAGGUGCUGGAGUUGGAAGCAAAGCCGCCUUCGAGCCACUGCCCAGCUACCUGGGGCCUGUAGGGAGGAUUACAGAUCACCUGGCUUGAGUGUCACAUACCCAGGUAAUAAGGAACAAAUGUGGAGAAUGUAGCCCAACAGAAGUGCAUGUGCCCACCAAUUAAAAAGCAUUGCAAAAAUAAAAAUAAAAAAAUUUUAAAAAGUACUGAGCAGAUGAGAUGGCUCAGAAGGUAAAUGCACUUGCAAUCAAACUUUAGGACCUAAGUUCUAUCCCCAUGUCUGCUAGUAAUGCUCUGACUCUCCCACCACCACACUGUGUACACGCACUCAUACAAAGAAAUAUUUUUUUAAUUUUUCUGAGAGACAGUUUCACUAUAUAGUCUUGGCUGGUUUGGAACUCACUGUGUAGACCAGGCUGGCCUCGAACUCAUGAUAUCUGCCUGCCUCUGAAGUGCUGAGAUUAAAAGUCUGUGCACAAAAGAAAUUUUAAAAAUGCAGUUCAAAAGCUGGGUGUGGUGGCACACACCUGUAAUCCCAGUGCUUGGUAGGCAGAGGCAGGCGGAUUUCUGUUAGUUCCAGGCCAUCCUGGUCUUAAAAGCAAGUCCAUAACAGCCAAGGCUACAGAGAGAAACCCUGUCUCUAAAAACCAAAAAAAUAAAAAAAUAAAUAAAAAUAGGAAUUAAGUUUAGAAACAAUGUUGAAUGAAAUAUAAGACACAUCAGUAGUAAACAGUGGGCCAUCUUCUGCGGAUAAAUUAGAGAAUGAGGCCAGGCUUGGUGAAUCACAUUCACAUCUAUGCACCACGGAGGCUGAAAUAGAAGGACUGAUGCAGAAUGGAGGCCAGCCUGGGAUACGGAAUGAGACCUUGUCUCCAAAAAGGGGGAUGGGGGCAUGGCAGGAUGGCUUAGCAGGUAGAGGCACCAACCUGAUUGCUUGGGUUUGAUCCCCAGGACAUACAGGGUGGAAGGAGACCACACCAAAGAGAUGGCUUAUGUGCACAUUCAUAUAAUAUGAUCAAUAAGCGUAAAACAAAACAAAAUGAAUGUAAUUUUAAGACUAUAGCCGUGGUUAAGAGCACUGUUUGCUCCUCCAGGCUCACAUCCUAGCACCCACGUGGUGAUUCACAGGCAUCUGUAACUCCAGGUCCAAGGGAUCCUAGUCAGGUCUCCUGGGGCACACAAAAAUACACAGGGCCAAAACACUCAUACACAUAAAAAAGUAGAAACUGAAGCUAUAUUUUUACUAUUUAUGUGUAUGUGAACGUCAUGCGAAUGUGUAUGCAUGGGUCUACCGCAUGUGUGUCAAGCCCUUGGGGGCCCGAAGAGGCAUCGUGUCUCCUGCAACUGGCAUUAUGGGUGUUUGUGAGCCACCGUGAGGGUCCUGGAAACUGAUCCUUGCCCUCUUCGAGAGCAAUAAGUGCUUUAAAACCUGAGCCAUCUCUCCAGCCACAUCAUUAAAUUUGUUUCAGUUAAAUAAAAUACAUAGCAUCCUUUAGCCUGAGAGUGUGGCUCAGAAUACUAACCUAACUAUGCACAAAGCCUGAGUUCCAUUCUUAGCACCACCAAAAUUUUGGCUAUUCAUCCAUGCCUGUAAUCCCAGCACUAGGGAGUUACAGGCAACAUGCUCAGAAUUUCAAGAUCAUGCUUGACUCCUCCACUGAGAGUUCAAAGCCAGCCUCAGACACAGGAGAACCUGUCUCACUAAGUAUAAAAAGAUAGCCUGGCAGUGGUGGCACAUGACUUUUAUGCCACGACUUGGGAGGCAGAGGCAGGCAGAUCUCUGUCAGUUUCAUCUACAGAGUGAGUUCCAGGACAGCCAAGGCUACACAAAGGAAGAAGAGGAAGAAGAAGAAAAAGAAGAAACUGUAUCUAUACACAUGACUGCAUUACCCAAGGAGGCCAAAAGAGGGAAUCAGAUAUCCCUGGAGCUGGAAUUACAGGCAGUUGUGAGCUGGCCCAUCUGGAUGCUGGGGACCUAACUUUGGUCCUCUAGAAGAGUAAUAAGUACUGUUAACCCCUGAGUCAUCUCUCCAUCCUCAACACUUUAAAUAUAUAUAUUUGUUUUAUAUAUUUUUUUAUUUUUUAGAAAGUCCAUUCAUUUAGUGUGCUGCGAAGUAGCAACAGAAUUCAGUUGUUUUGUUGUUGAGGGUGGGUCUCACUGCAUUGUCCACGCUAUCAUUAAAGUCUUUUUAUGUACAUUUUUAA